Molecule: ribosomal RNA, 326 nt
Filed under: uncultured soil bacterium
Lineage: Bacteria
Description: bacterial SSU rRNA
Rfam family: Bacterial small subunit ribosomal RNA
Source: RNAcentral
GGAUUGAACGCUGGCGGCAGGCCUAACACAUGCAAGUCGAGCGGCAGCACGGGUACUUGUACCUGGUGGCGAGCGGCGGACGGGUGAGUAAUGCCUAGGAAUCUGCCUGGUAGUGGGGGAUAACGCUCGGAAACGGACGCUAAUACCGCAUACGUCCUACGGGAGAAAGCAGGGGACCUUCGGGCCUUGCGCUAUCAGAUGAGCCUAGGUCGGAUUAGCUAGUUGGUGAGGUAAUGGCUCACCAAGGCGACGAUCCGUAACUGGUCUGAGAGGAUGAUCAGUCACACUGGAACUGAGACACGGUCAGACUCCUACGGGAGGCAGCA